GUUAUUUUGGCAGAGAAUAUGUGUUGGAUUUAGGAUCCUAUAAGAUAGAGUAAUCUAUA
This 59-nucleotide transfer RNA is filed under the name Austinixa patagoniensis. Its description in RNAcentral is "tRNA-Leu". The record is from RNAcentral. Lineage: Eukaryota; Metazoa; Arthropoda; Malacostraca; Decapoda; Pinnotheridae.